Molecule: transfer RNA, 82 nt
Filed under: Ipomoea nil (Japanese morning glory)
Lineage: Eukaryota; Viridiplantae; Streptophyta; Magnoliopsida; Solanales; Convolvulaceae
Rfam family: tRNA
About the family: Transfer RNA (tRNA) molecules are approximately 80 nucleotides in length.
Source: Rfam by way of RNAcentral
GUCAAUAUGUCUAAGUGGUUAAGGAGAUAGAUUCAAAAUUUAUUGGGCUUUGCCUGCGCAAGUUCGAAUCUUGCUGUUGAUG